GUCAGAGUUUGAUCCUGGCUCAGGAUGAACGCUAGCGGCAGGCCUAACACAUGCAAGUCGAGGGGUAGAGUUCUUCGGGACUUGAGACCGGCGCACGGGUGCGUAACGCGUAUGCAAUCUACCUUACAUUGGGGGAUAGCCCAGAGAAAUUUGGAUUAAUACCUCAUAGUAUGUGAGAAUCGCAUGGUUUUCACAUUAAAGUUCCAACGGUAAAAGAUGAGCAUGCGUCCCAUUAGCUAGAUGGUAAGGUAACGGCUUACCAUGGCGACGAUGGGGUAGGGGUCCUGAGAGGGAGACUCCCCCACACUGGGUACUGAGACACGGACCAGACUCCGUACGGGAGGCAGCAGUG
Molecule: ribosomal RNA, 352 nt
Filed under: uncultured Flavobacteriaceae bacterium
Lineage: Bacteria; Pseudomonadati; Bacteroidota; Flavobacteriia; Flavobacteriales; Flavobacteriaceae
Description: bacterial SSU rRNA
Rfam family: Bacterial small subunit ribosomal RNA
Source: RNAcentral